This 354-nucleotide ribosomal RNA is filed under the name Ixodes persulcatus (taiga tick). RNAcentral describes it as "partial 16S ribosomal RNA". The stretch from base 77 to 354 matches the Rfam family "Bacterial large subunit ribosomal RNA", at positions 2078 to 2601 of the family's 2925-position model. The record is from RNAcentral. Lineage: Eukaryota; Metazoa; Arthropoda; Arachnida; Ixodida; Ixodidae.
UUGAACAAUUAUAGGCUUUCUUUAGUUAAAUAAUUAAAUUUAAUUUUUUUAGUGCAAAAGCAAAAAUUAAAUUUAGGGACAAGAAGACCCUAUGAAUUUUAAUUUAAUUUAUAAUUUGAAAUUUUAAAUUAAAUUUGAUUGGGGCGAUGGAAAAAGAAUGAGUAUCUUUUUUAGUUUUAAAAAUUGGUUCCGUUUUUAACGAUUAAAUGAGAAAAAUACUCUAGGGAUAACAGCGUAAUAAUUUUGGAUAGUUCUUAUAGAUAAAAUAGUUUGCGACCUCGAUGUUGGAUUAGGAUUCUUUCUUGGCGAAGAAGUUAAGAAAAAGAAGUUUGUUCAACUUUUAAAUUCCUACAU